AGAGUUUGAUCAGGGCUCAGGACGAACGCUGGCGGCGUGCUUAACACAUGCAAGUCGAACGGGGCAUAGAGAUAUGCCUAGUGGCGGACGGGUGAGUAACACGUGAGCAAUCUAUCCUAUACAACGGGAUAACACAGAGAAAUUUGUGCUAAUACGGUAUAAGACCACAUUCCGGCAUCGGAGAGGGGUAAAAGCUGAGGCGGUAUAGGAGGAGCUCGCGGCCCAUUAGCUAGUUGGAGAGGUAACGG
This 248-nucleotide ribosomal RNA is filed under the name uncultured bacterium. RNAcentral describes it as "partial 16S ribosomal RNA". It matches the Rfam family "Bacterial small subunit ribosomal RNA", at positions 8 to 263 of the family's 1533-position model. The record is from RNAcentral.